CUCUUCUCACCUAAAUCAGUUUCCAAAGCUACCACUCCAUUGCCCUCAACUCAUCCUUUCCUCUCCACUAGGAACUCCCAGAAUGCCUUUCUGCUGAGGCUGCCCAUCCAUGACGAUUCCUGUUUGAACACGAGAAGUGGCAGAGCCAAGGAGAGGAAGGGAAUUGGCAAAAGUGUUCUUAGAAGAAUGGGCGAUGCAGAUUCACCAGACGUUUCACUGUAUGGCUUGACGAGUGGUGCUGGGUCUGCUCCUGGGAUCUGAACCUACGAACCCCAGGCCACCGAAGCACAGCAUGCCAACUCAACCACUACACCAUCAGGCUGGCCCCUGCACAAGUGUUUUUGAUGGAAGGAAAUGUAAAGGUUGGAGAGCCAGAGUCCAUGGCCGAGGAAGAACAAAGAUCUCUCUCCCGGAUGCAGCCAGCUGCCAAUGUGCCGAAGUUCGGAGUGGUUCUCUCAUUGAAGGACAACAGAUCUCUCAAAUAACGGAUGAUUUACUGACAGUCUUGCUGAGUCUCGUGCAUGGAAAGAUGGACUGGGGUCGAAAGGACUAAACUGGAAGCAGCAUCAGGUGGAGAAGGUGGCAUCACCAGACAUCACCAGCUGUCACUAAGCCUUGAAGACAUCCAGCUCUUUGUUCAACAGACACUGACGGAAAAUUCCUGUGGAC
This is a long non-coding RNA of Equus caballus (horse), 669 nucleotides long. The record is from Ensembl. Lineage: Eukaryota; Metazoa; Chordata; Mammalia; Perissodactyla; Equidae.